GCGUAGCCUAGUGGGCAUGGCAUCUGCCCGGAAGCAGAACGCUGUGGGUUCGAUUCCCAUCCAUAGACA
RNAcentral lists this transfer RNA (69 nucleotides) under Cordylochernes scorpioides. RNAcentral's name for it is "tRNA-OTHER". The stretch from base 3 to 61 matches the Rfam family "tRNA", at positions 7 to 64 of the family's 71-position model. Rfam says of the family: Transfer RNA (tRNA) molecules are approximately 80 nucleotides in length. Their secondary structure includes four short double-helical elements and three loops (D, anti-codon, and T loops). Lineage: Eukaryota; Metazoa; Arthropoda; Arachnida; Pseudoscorpiones; Chernetidae. The record is from RNAcentral.